CCUUCCUGUGUCUCCGCACAGGCAGCCGGGCUGCAACCGGCCCCGAGCCGCGGCGGGGGCCGGGGCCGAGCGGGGGGGUCUCCAGCUGAAGAGGGGAAGGUUGGAGCAUCCCCCCUUCCUCGCUCUGCCCUCCACCCCCGGAACGAAGGGAUGAGCAUCUCCAGGGCAGGCUCUUGCACCAUCAGCUCUCCACCUGUGGAUAUGAGGAGAUGAUGAGUGGAGCAAUGUGGCAUGGAUUGACAUUCCCACGCAUGAGAACCUGGUUAUGCAUAGACUCCAUCUCCCAUGCUUUUAGCAAGAAGUGUCUCUAUCGGGAUGUGUUCUCCACAAAUGAAGGUCUCCAGCCCUGUUACAGAGAUGAUAAUGCCUCAAACCAUCCCAGAGAAGGACAGGAUGGAGUUGGGUCUGAUUUUCAGUCCUGGGAAGUCUUAUUCUGCUUUGCUCCUCUUUCAGGUUUACCUCCUCCAUCACCUCAAACACAGAGCUGCUCCUGGCUUUUCUCCUCCCUCAUCCCACCAGGGAUGGCUUGGUGGUUAGACGGUCCUUUGUGGACUCUUUUUGAUCCAGGAGGCCAACCUAAAGACAUAUAAUGAGUGCAGUCGUGAUGCCAUAAUGAUCUAAGGUCUGGAUGGGGGAGAAAUGUUCCAUAAAUAGUUACAGCUGGAAAAGGAUGAGGAGAAACCAAUCUGGACCAUGGGCAACGAAUCCAAACCACUUUAUUUGGGUAAAUAAAUUUAUUCAAUUAGUAAAGGGUGGGCUUUGAAAAUUAAACAGAGGUGUUCUUUUCUAAUUUGAUUUUGGGGUAAAUAAUGGAAAAGCUUCUCAUAUGGUGAAUAAAGAAUUUAUUGACAUGAAUGUAG
Molecule: long non-coding RNA, 860 nt
Organism: Falco peregrinus (peregrine falcon)
Lineage: Eukaryota; Metazoa; Chordata; Aves; Falconiformes; Falconidae
Exons: 2
Source: RefSeq, a predicted model, not a curated record